Molecule: ribosomal RNA, 502 nt
Filed under: uncultured bacterium
Lineage: Bacteria
Description: bacterial SSU rRNA
Rfam family: Bacterial small subunit ribosomal RNA
Source: RNAcentral
GAUGAACGCUAGCGACAGGCCUAACACAUGCAAGUCGAGGGGCAGCACAUGAGUAGCAAUACGAUGGUGGCGACCGGCGCACGGGUGAGUAACACGUAUGCAACCUGCCUGUAAGAGGGGAAUAACCCGGAGAAAUUCGGACUAAUACCGCAUAAUACCACGAGACUGCAUGGUUUUGUGGUUAAACAUUUAUGGCUUACAGAUGGGCAUGCGUAUGAUUAGAUAGUUGGUAGGGUAACGGCCUACCAAGUCUACGAUCAUUAGGGGUUCUGAGAGGAAGGUCCCCCACACUGGUACUGAGACACGGACCAGACUCCUACGGGAGGCAGCAGUGAGGAAUAUUGGUCAAUGGGCGAGAGCCUGAACCAGCCAAGUCGCGUGAAGGAAGAAGGUUCUAUGGAUUGUAAACUUCUUUUGUAAGGGAAUAAAAGAGUUACGUGUAACUUAUUGUAUGUACUUUACGAAUAAGGAUCGGCUAACUCCGUGCCAGCAGCCGCGGUAA